This 519-nucleotide ribosomal RNA is filed under the name Lerista zonulata. RNAcentral's name for it is "partial 16S ribosomal RNA". It matches the Rfam family "Bacterial large subunit ribosomal RNA", at positions 1816 to 2595 of the family's 2925-position model. The record is from RNAcentral. Lineage: Eukaryota; Metazoa; Chordata; Lepidosauria; Squamata; Scincidae.
UAGCCUUUAGCAAUAAAAGUAUUAAAGGUCCUGCCUGCCCAGUGAAACCAUUUUUAACGGCCGCGGUAUUCUAACCGUGCAAAGGUAGCGUAAUCACUUGUCUUCUAAAUAAAGACCAGUAUGAACGGCUAAAUGAGGACAAAUCUGUCUCCUACAACCAAUCAGUGAAACUGAUCUUCCAGUCCAAAAGCUGGGAUUCCAACAUUAGACGAGAAGACCCUGCGGAGCUUAAAAGACCCCUAGUAAUAAAAAACUAGAACAAAUUUUAAGUUGGGGCGACUUCGGAAAAAAACAAAACUUCCGAGCACAGAAUCAUAAAUUCUUAUAAACCCAGGCAAACAGGCCAAAAAUAAAUGACCCAGUCCAUACUGACCAACGAACCAAGUUACCCCAGGGAUAACAGCGCUAUCCUCUUCAAGAGUCCAUAUCGACAAGAGGGUUUACGACCUCGAUGUUGGAUCAGGGCACCCCAAUGGUGCAACCGCUAUUAAAGGUUCGUUUGUUCAACGAUUAACAGCC